CCAAAACUGAAAUUGACAUUCCUGCAAAUUUUGACUACCCGUAAUUAUUGUUGUAACAUACCCCGAUUGCAGUGACAUCUCCUUUUCCAGAGAGAUAUUACCAUUUCAAA
Nicotiana attenuata is the source of this 110-nucleotide long non-coding RNA. RefSeq lists it as uncharacterized. The record is from RefSeq and is a predicted model, not a curated record. The transcript has 2 exons. Lineage: Eukaryota; Viridiplantae; Streptophyta; Magnoliopsida; Solanales; Solanaceae.